This 400-nucleotide long non-coding RNA is filed under the name Homo sapiens (human). RNAcentral's name for it is "endogenous retrovirus group K member 28". Lineage: Eukaryota; Metazoa; Chordata; Mammalia; Primates; Hominidae. The record is from RNAcentral.
AUGAACCCAUCGGAGAUGCAAAGAAAAGCACCUCCGCGGAGACGGAGACACCGCAAUCGAGCACCGUUGACUCACAAGAUGAACAAAAUGGUGACGUCAGAAGAACAGAUGAAGUUGCCAUCCACCAAGAAAGCAGAGCCGCCGACUUGGGCACAACUAAAGAAGCUGACGCAGUUAGCUACAAAAUAUCUAGAGAACACAAAGUCUGCAGGUGUACCCAACAGCUCCGAAGAGACAGCGACCAUCGAGAACGGGCCAUGAUGACGAUGGCGGUUUUGUCGAAAAGAAAAGGGGGAAAUGUGGGGAAAAGCAAGAGAGAUCAGAUUGUUACUGUGUCUGUGUAGAAAGAAGUAGACAUAGGAGACUCCAUUUUGUUAUGUACUAAGAAAAAUUCUUCUGC